Molecule: long non-coding RNA, 1176 nt
Organism: Cyprinus carpio (common carp)
Lineage: Eukaryota; Metazoa; Chordata; Actinopteri; Cypriniformes; Cyprinidae
Exons: 2
Source: RefSeq, a predicted model, not a curated record
GGUCCAGUGCCACAUAUAGGACAUUAUUAAAUUAUAUAGGAUAUAAUUUUGACAUUAUAAGAAGUGGUUUAAAAACAUAAUUAGACUGAUAUACAGUUGUAAGUAAUCCAGUCUUCUGAAGUAAUAUAAUCAAUGUAUGAUGAACAGAGCAAUCAUUGAUCAGCUUAUGUAUACAGUUAUCAGAGUGAUAAAAUCUAAGUGUUCUUAGUGUUAUAAUGAUUUGGGCUCUGUAAACAGCAGACAUUUAUCAAAAUAUAUGCGUUGGGAUUUUGUGUUGGAAAAUUUCUGCAUAGAGCACCUCAAGAAGAUCUCAGACAGAGGUAAAGUCCUGGAGAUUCAUCUGCUCUCAAGAAAAAAAUCAUAUUAGGAAUUGAUGCAAGAUUAUUUUCUCUUGAUAUGAGAAUCACACUAAUAGUGUAUGUUCAUUUCAGCCGUCACAUUCACCAACAUUGUUCCCAGGACCAGGAACGACUUCCUACAAUAUUCCCAUCAGCUCACUCUGGAUCUGAACACAGUGAAUAAAAACCUCCGUCUGUCUGAGAGCAACAGAGUGAUUACUCAUACUUGCCCAUACUUGUAUCCUGAUCAUCCAGACAGAUUUGAGAUUUUGUGUCAGGUGUUAUGUAGAGAGAGUGUGUGUGGACGCAGUUACUGGGAGCUGCAGUGGAGUGGAUUUAGUGUGUUUAUAUCAGUUUCAUAUAAGAGCAUCGGCAGGAAGCAAUCAGGUGAUGAGUGUUUGUUUGGACGUAAUGAUCAGUCUUGGAGUUUGUCUUGUUUUCCCUCCAAAUACUCAUUCUGUCACAAUAAGAUAGAAACUGGUCUCCCUGUGAAACCCAUCAGCAGUAGAAUAGGAGUGUAUGUGGAUCACAGUGCAGAAAUUCUGUCCUACUACAGCGUCUCUGACACAUUGAGCCUCAUCCACACAGUCCAGACCACAUUCACUCAGUCGCUCUAUCCUGGGAUUUAUGUUUGUCCUGGAUCAUCAGUGAAACUGUGUUGAUGAAUCAAAAUAGUUUGACAAGAGAUUCUACCCAUAAUCCAUUGAGCUGCUUGACAAAUCAGUAACAGUGAGAUUUUAUGAAGUCUCUUCUUUACAUUAAUACUGCAGCUGAACUUCUGUCAGAGAAAUAGCAUGUCAGAAUAAAUGUGUGUAAUAAAUCCUCAUAUAGACAGUGA